GAUGAACGCUGGCGGCGUGCCUAAUACAUGCAAGUCGAGCGAACAGACGAGGAGCUUGCUCCUCUGACGUUAGCGGCGGACGGGUGAGUAACACGUGGAUAACCUACCUAUAAGACUGGGAUAACUUCGGGAACCCGGAGCUAAUACCGGCUGAUAUAUUGAACCGCAUGGUUCAAUAGUGAAAGACGGUUUUGCUGUCACUUAUAGAUGGAUCCGCGCCGCAUUAGCUAGUUGGUAAGGUAACGGCUUACCAAGGCGACGCUGCGUAGCCGACCUGUGAGGGUGAUCGGCCACACUGGAACUGAGACACGGUCCAGACUCCUACGGGAGGCAGCAGUAGGGAAUCUUCCGCAAUGGGCGAAAGCCUGACGGAGCAACGCCGCGUGAGUGAUGAAGGUCUUCGGAUCGUAAAACUCUGUUAUUAGGGAAGAACAAAUGUGUAAGUAACUAUGCACGUCUUGACGGUACCUAAUCAGAAAGCCACGGCUAACUACGUG
Molecule: ribosomal RNA, 497 nt
Filed under: uncultured bacterium
Lineage: Bacteria
Description: partial 16S ribosomal RNA
Rfam family: Bacterial small subunit ribosomal RNA
Source: RNAcentral